AAGGGCACCACAAGAACGCGUGGAGCAUGUGGCUUAAUUUGACUCAACACGGGAAAUCUUACCGGGUCCGGACACACUGAGGAUUGACAGGCAAUAUGUUAAAAUACUACGGUAUUUUAGUUGUUAAAUAUGCUAGUCCUUUCAUGAUUAUGUGAUAGGUGGUGCAUGGCCGUUCUUAGUUCGUGGAGUGAUCUGUCUGCUUAAUUGCGUUUCACCAAAGGUUCUAUAUAUAACGGUAUCAAGAGUUUUGACCCUUUAUUGCGCGUCUUUUCUCUUAUCACCGUUUAGAAACCUUGAAAGCAACGAACGUGACCGCAACCUCUUGUUGCCUUUAUGAUACCAACUUUUUGUUUAUACUCUCACGGGUGAAACAAUGCUAAAAGGCUUUUUAAACUAGAGGGACCGCUGUUACUUUCUUAAACCAGAGGAAGGUUGCGGCAAUAACAGGUCUGUGAUGCCCUUAGAUGUUCCGGGCUGCACACGUGCUACAAUGAUUAUUGCAGUGAGCAUCUCAUUUGAUUUUACACCGCUCAGUGCGUAAAUUGUAACUCACGUUACUUUUUAUUGCACGCGGUACAGCCUACUUCGACAGUAAGUGGGUAAUCAAUUAGAAGUAAUGAUUUCUCUUAUACAGCACACAUAUAUACGGCAUUUUAUUAUCUUUACGUGCACAAUUUAUUUUGUGUGUGUAAAUGUGUAGUUUAAUGAAACUCUCGCGAGUUUAUACCGUAUGUGCAAUUGUCAAUUCAUGGUGGGGACAGACCAUUGUUAAUUGUUGGUCUCGGUCUUAACUAGGAAUGCCUUGUACGGGUCUUUGGUUCAACAAACCACCCGGAAUACGUCCCUGCCCUUUGUACACACCGCCCGUC
RNAcentral lists this ribosomal RNA (869 nucleotides) under Nonionella auris. RNAcentral's name for it is "bacterial SSU rRNA". It matches the Rfam family "Eukaryotic small subunit ribosomal RNA", at positions 1160 to 1677 of the family's 1831-position model. The record is from RNAcentral. Lineage: Eukaryota; Foraminifera; Rotaliida; Nonionidae.